GCUCUAAUCAAUAAUGAACCAUAGCACACCAAAGCAUUAAUGUCAAAUGCAAAUAAUGAAUGAAAUGCAGUUAUUUAAGGCUGUUAUCAAUGAGGAGUGGACAGCACCCCAGAGAUGAUAACCAAGAGACUCCUUUCACUGUGCUCUAGGCCUCUACUCAAAUGUGGCCCAACUCCUGACCAGCACUACCCAACAGUUCAAAGGAAUGCAUAACCAUUGGUUUCAACACAAACCCACUGGAUUCAAGUCUGAAUUUUGACUUAAUAAGGUAGUCCUGGAAGUUGCCAUGUGUAACAGGCGGUCACGAACUCAGAGACACGGGAUACCUCCACUUCCUUCUAAUGAUUGGGAUUAGAGGCAUGCACCACCGUGCCUGCCUGGUGGGUUUGUUCUUCUGAGACACAGAAUCACUAUGUAGCCCAGACUGCACUUAAAUUCAAAAUACUCCUGCCUCAGUCCUCUAAGCGAUAGAACUAUAGGUGUGUACCACCACAACCAGCUCAAAAAUCUCUAUAUGGUGGAAGCAGAUCUAGAGGAAAAGAAAUGUAUGUAAGCAAUUAAGUAAAUAAAUGUUCACACUAGGCAGGACAAAGUGGAAUGGUACCACAUAAGAGAUCAACUUUGCCUAUGCGACUUAAAGACAAGGGAGAGGAGGUCACGGCAGACAGGUUCAGAGAAAACAUAGAGCAUGGGACACCACACUGAGUAUUGUAGGUUCAAAGAGUUCGGUUCCUCUUAGCUUAGUGAAGAUAAAGGUAAAUAGCAGAAAGUAACAAUCAUGCAAAAAAUCAGCUUCCCAGAGUCUUAAACACUGCACUUAAGGAACUGCACUUUAUUCUGUCCAGUCAACUCUGAAACGUUUGUAGGUAGGAAGAGCCACUUAGACUCUCCAACUAUCUGCAGGCAUUGUAACAAAUUAUGAAAAAGGAGAAUUUUUUAUUUAUUUAUUUAUUUAUUUUGCCUUUCCAGAUACUGUUUAUACUGCUUCAGUUCAACAUACAUACUCACAGUUACCAACAAUAGUUACAGGUGAAGAAUUUGAAUUUUUAAUUCUAAUAUCCCCCAAAUCAUUGCUGCAAUCCUGACUAUCAGGAGUGGUAGCCACAUCUUGAUGUUAUAUUACUUUCAGUGUUGUCUUUUUAGUUUUCUCAUACCUAAUUAACUAAUUAUCCAUAUAAAGUUCUCAGUGUGGGAAUAUCUAGUGCACUGUUGACUUCAGUAACUGUCAAAAUCAAAUGGGAGAGAAGGAGGAACUGAGGGAAUAAGGAAGUCCUUACAAGAGACAAAGAGAAUGUGACUAAGGUUUGGGAAAAAGCAGUAGAGAUGGAGCACACUUAGCUGGUCUAACUGGCACAGCUGCCCUCACAGGCAAUUAGCAGGAAUGUAGAAAAGGUACAGCUGCUAUCAACAGUGACUUGGCUGGUCCUCAAAAAGUUAAACCUGGCCAAUCUCAAAGGAACUAAAAGAGUCACACAAAAAAUCUGAACAUAAAAUGCACAACAAAAUUAUCAAUCAAAAGAGUCCUAAAGAAGAACCCAAAUGUCGUUAACUGAUGAAUGGAUGAACAAAAUAUGGAAUGUCUACAAGAAAGAAUUACCUUCCCAUAAAAAGGAAUAAAGUGCUAAUAUUGUAACAAGGACAAACCCUAGAAAUAAAAAUCAGACACAAGACCAAGCAGCAGUGGCGCACACCUUUAAUUCCAGCAGUUGAAAGGCAGAAUUCAAGGCCAGUCAGUUUACAAAGCAAGUUCCAAGACAGGCAGAGCUACAAAGAGAAACCCUGUCAGGAGACUAAAUAAAUAUCAAACACAAAAGCUACACUGGAUGAUACAUGAUUCCCUUAAAUGACAUAUUAAGACUAUGCACAUGCAAGCAGACAGUAGUUAGUGGCUGCCAGGGGUUGGAAGGAGAUGGGCCUGGGCAGUGACCACUAAUGUGUGUGGGGCUCCUUUCUGGUAUGACGAAAAUAUCCUCGAACCAGAUAGCAAUGAUGGUUGUAACCCUAAGAAAGAACUAGCCAUCACUGGCUGUACACCUUAAAAUGUUAUUUUGUUCUAUGUGAUCUUCAGCUCAAUAUUUUAAAGACAAACAGAGUUGAAGUGUAGAGAAGAUGAGUGUAAUUUUAAUUCCCAACCCAAUUCCUAACAUCCUGUUAUGCAGGUCUUGGUACUCAGAACAGAAAUCUAAGCAAGAGACAAGCCUGGAGUCUUCAGCUAUUGACAGCUAUAGAAUUUCCCUUCCUUGUGGUAUGGACUUGUCAACACUUCAUCUCCCAUCUGUUCCAAGCCAUUGUGCUUCAGUGAGAAAAAACAGAUAUAAUCAUACACAGGACAAAUAUUCAGGUGAGGAUUCAAAACAACAAAAAUCCUUUCAUAAAAUGAAAAGGGUUAUACAAAUCCAUUAUAAUUCUUUUAUAGAGUACACCAAGUGUUCUACUAGUGACCACAACAAAACACUGGCUUUUAGUGACUGCCCAGAAGCACACCUUGUGCCUUAUACAGUCACUAGACACCUGUACUCAGAAUGGGCUUUGCAGUUCUAGUUACCAUAUCAAAACACAACAGGUCUGGACAAGACCCAGGAAAAACAAGCUAAAACUGACAGUUCAAGAUUUCUAUUUUGAUUGGUGAACAGGAAUAUUAAAGACCUUGUUCUCAUGAUAAAAUGUAAGAUCAUAAAAUUCUUUUAAAGUAGGAAUAAAGAAAACAAAAACUUAUUUUCCAAAUUCUAAGUUCUUGGAAUUACAAUAACACUUUACAUUAGAGAAAAUAAAAUGUGCACUACUCCUUAAGAGACAAAACUACCAUUAGUUCAAAAAUCUGAAUAAACUCAAAUAUUAUCAGAAUUUUGAAAAUAAGGAUACUAAAAGGCACAUAUUAAGCACAAGCAAGCAAAUUCAGGUUGUAAUGCAGCUUUUAGUCCCUUCUUCCAAAAGCUCCAUCCAACACCAACCAGUGUUCACAAAGAAAGCAUUCUGUGCUCUCCUACACUGCCUUCUUCCUCUUAGAUAUUAAUUACAUAUUAAGACUUCCAAGUAAAGUUGGUAGAUUUAUAAACUGAUAUAAUCACAGGUUGCAUCUAAGGGUUAAAGAUACAAAACUCAACCUUGAGUUUUCAUUGUUAUUUAUUACACAAGCACACAAGCAGGUAAGUUACCAGUAGAGGGCGCUCAAAAGGGGAGCCGAGCUGGCCACAGCUUUAGAGGAAAGUUUUCAAACAAAACUGUUUUUAAAAUAAGACUUUUCAAGUCAAAAAGUUUUAAUACAACUUAAGAGUAAGAUAACAUAAUGCACAGUAACAUAACAAAUAUAUGUCAUAUUUGAAAAUCAAAAUAAAAGUUAUCACUGGGACAUAAAUUUGAUAAUCUGAGCAAUGGUUAAAACUAUGUGUAGCACAAAAGGCUUUUUAACUCAGAAAUGCUGAUAUUCUGGGCUGGUUCUUUCUUUGCUUUUUCUAGUUGAGUCGUGUGAGGACUUCAUAAGAGAUUGUAAUAACCAUGUCCCACUAACAAGUUCAUUGAAAAACUAGUGUACUUCCUAAAAGAUAAAAAAUUUCAGAACGGAAGUCAAGGUGAUUGGCAUAUAUACUAUCUCCAAUAUUAACAUGUUCUAUGGUAGUUUUCUAUUAUGUAUUUGCCAUCAAGCAAACAUAAAUUCAAGUUACAGUAUAUAUACUGAUGCACAGACUAGAAGAUUACUAAAUAUGUUCCUAGUUUGAAAGACAGCUACUUUUUCACUUACCAUAGUGGAAAUAUCACUUGAUUCACAAAGUUUAUUCACUCUCUAGCUGGCUAAAUAUCUUUAAGCAAGUUAGAACAUAAAACACCUCACAAGUUUAUAGAUAAAAAUGACUGCUCUCCUUCACCUCCUAGGAUAUUUUACAAAUCUGAAAUCACUAAAAAAAAAAACGUCAUGAUACUAUCACUAACAUUUUUAAAAAGCUUCCUGCCAUUUUUUUAAUGUAAAGAAACUAAUGGAAUUCCAAAGUACAAGCACGUCACCAAUGGGCUGCAUCCAGAGCCCCUCCUUUGUUUUUCACUUUAAGACAGGGUCUCACUAAGUUGUACAGGCUGUCCUUGCACCUGCUCUAUAACCCAGGCAGGUCUUAAACUGGAAAUCCUUCUGCCUCCCAGUAUCGAAUAGCAUCUGCCCCCAGAGCCAGCUUCCAUGCUCUCAUUUUCUCUGACAUUUUUUAUCAAUUGAAACUUUCUGUACUUGCGGGAGUUGGCAUUUUUUAGUGAAUCAAAUCUCUUUCACUCCUUUGCCCUUCUUAUAGGUAAACCACACCAGGAAAGGGCCAUGUCAGUUUCCUCAGACUCGCCAUAGAUUGUGAGAUAAGGUAUAGACUUUUCUCCAGCUGCUAAACUACCUGGAGGAAUGUCAGGGUCAAAGUUCACAGGUUAUCAGUGCUCCCCAGAGUCAAGUCUUCUGGCAUGGCAGAAAUCAUAAUCAGGGUUAGAAAUUUAAAUUUACAACCUUUUUCUACCUUCUUCAUACACAAUGAACUGUUAAAUGUAUAUUACAUUUUAGCAAAUGUGAACUAAAGGUGUCCUAAGCUCUAUUUACCAUGCCCUACAGUUAGUUCUGACAUCAUGCUGUAUACAUUCAGGAUGCUUUCUGACCUAACAGGAGAAAGCACAACGGAACCCCUCAGAUUUUCAAAGAAAAUGUUGGUUACUUCUGCUGAAAGCAUUUUCCAAAUCCCAGGAAAACUGUCACAUUUCACAUGUAUUCUAUUAAAACUUCCUUUUACAUGUGAUUUAAAUGAUAGAACAUGCCAAGUAAUCUUGCAUUUAGAAUACCAGUCAAAAUGAACUUUUUGAUUUUUCUUGAAGAAAAAAGCAGAACUACAUUAUAGCACUGAACUGACCUGUCAAAAAUAAAUGUAUGAAGAAUAGUACUCAGGAGCUCUACUUCACAGAAAUAACUUUUUAAAUUUGGAAAUCAAAUAAAAGUCAUUUUUAUAUUUAA
Apodemus sylvaticus (European woodmouse) is the source of this 4969-nucleotide long non-coding RNA. RefSeq lists it as uncharacterized. The transcript has 2 exons. The record is from RefSeq and is a predicted model, not a curated record. Lineage: Eukaryota; Metazoa; Chordata; Mammalia; Rodentia; Muridae.